AAUUUUAGCGUCAAGGACUCAUUGUUGGAUAAAAACAAACAACCAACUACAACCAGAUUCCAUUUGUCUUUUUCCAGCUUCUUUUCUUGCAUGUGCAGUAUUUUAUUUUUAAACUAUGAAUAAGAAACAACAAAGGAAAUCUUUGGAACUUUUUCUUUGUUCUUGGCCAACUGGGCCAGCAUUGUUUGGCAGUGACCUAGUUCGAAGCGAGGGAAGUGGGAGUUUAACCGAGCACUGAGAACCGGGGGCUUAUUCGCCAGCGAUGCCUGGUGGCGUGGACUUGAUUUGCCACUGUGCCAGCAGCUACAGGCUCUCAAAAAGUCUGUGCAGUUCCCCAUGUUCCACCAUACUUACUGAACAUGGUCUCAUUCUACCGCCUCAGAUAUAACAGCGAUUUGUUUGUUUUUGUUGUUGAUUUUUAAUGAGUUAUGAAAAAUUAAUACAACUUUGGCAAAUUAUAUUCCUGAAACACAAACAAAUAAACCCUUACCUAGAUUGACACUAAGCGGUUAAGGGCUAAGAGCCUUGCUCAAGGACCCAGGAGACACAGCUUGGAAGUGCAAGAAUUUGAACUCACAACCUGCUGAUCAGUAUUUCAGCAGCCCAAGUGUACUGGUUUAGAAGGGGUGAUGGCAAAGCCUGGAGCAAAGCCUGGAGCAGGGCACUCCCCGCUCCCUCUCUCUAAUCGGGAUGCUCUGUGUCCGCCGGGUCAGGCUGAUGUUUCAGCUGCAGAGGUCUUAAUCCACGUAAUGCAGACAGAACAUGAGAUGCUCUGGGAUUUGGAGAGAUCAGCGUCUGUCUGAUGGCAGAGGAAGAGGAAAACGGAGUCUUUUUGGUUCAGUCCUGGCCAUGUGUUGCACUGGAGCAUUGAUCCCCUCCCCUUUUUCCGUGUAAGCUUUAAGAGCUUUGUUGUAAAUCUUCAUGUUUUCAUGUCACUAAAUACAAGGAAGAGAUUUGACAUAUGGAGAUGCAGAAGAACCACUUAUAUUUUAAUGACACUGCAGGGAACACUAAUAGACAAAAAUAUACUUACUAUGCCAAAGUGGAAAGAAAUGCACUAAGCAAAGAUGCCUUGAAAAAGAAAGAAAUUAAUUAAUGAAGUUUUAUGUUGCCACGUAAAAGAACUACUAUAAA
This is a long non-coding RNA of Hemibagrus wyckioides, 1134 nucleotides long. RefSeq lists it as uncharacterized. The record is from RefSeq and is a predicted model, not a curated record. The transcript is spliced from 3 exons. Lineage: Eukaryota; Metazoa; Chordata; Actinopteri; Siluriformes; Bagridae.